This 51-nucleotide non-coding RNA is filed under the name Tripos fusus. The record is from RNAcentral. Lineage: Eukaryota; Dinophyceae; Gonyaulacales; Ceratiaceae.
CAUUGAUGGGAAACGCUCAAGGCUGGCUACAAUGCAGCCAAAGUCUUGCUA